Long non-coding RNA from Prosopis cineraria, 517 nucleotides. RefSeq lists it as uncharacterized. Lineage: Eukaryota; Viridiplantae; Streptophyta; Magnoliopsida; Fabales; Fabaceae. The transcript is spliced from 2 exons. The record is from RefSeq and is a predicted model, not a curated record.
UUCCAUAGCAUGAGCUGAUUUCCCCUUCACCAGGUGAAAUCCAUGUGUUAUGUUUUUUAACAUUUUGCCUUUUCCUUUACCUCGGUCACCUCCUGAUGAUGUUCCGAACCCUGCUUUCACCUGCAAGAAAGUUUCAAUCUUUACAACCCAAUUGCUUAUAUGGGCAGAAAACUGCUAAAUUUGCAGAGACAGGAAAGGGAGACCACUUUUUCUAGUUCACAGGAAUCAGAAAUAUUUGAUCAUGCUUAAGCUUCACGAACGAAAAUGAAGACGACAACAGCUCAGACUAUGGAGUUCAGACAGGGAUAGAAAGGAAGAGAAGAUGACGGAGAAAUUAAGAGUGGACAUGUAAAAAUGGAACUUUGACUUUUAAGCACGUGAACUAGUUGAUAGUGUUAACUUCUCUUUAAUUUGUAUUAUUGUGGAGACCGAGUCGUUUUCAAACAGCGCAUACUCGUCUGCCGACGACGUCAAUCUUUUCUUACUAUUAUUCCACUUCCGCUCCAUUAUUAACAAA